GAUGAACGCUGGCGGCGUGCUUAACACAUGCCAGUCGAGCGAAGAAACGAGGCGUUUUCUCCUCUGACGUAACGGGCGGGUGGGUGAGUAGCACGUGGAUAACCUACCUGUAAGACUGGACUAAAUUCGGGAAGCCGGAGCUAAGACCGGGUAAUAGAUAGAACCGCAUGGUUCAAUAUGGUAAGACGGGUUUGCGGUCAGCGAGAGGUCGGUCCGCGCCGCAUUAGCUGGUUGGUAAGGUGACGGCCUACCAAGGCGACGAUGGGUAGCCGAACUGAGAGGGUGAUCGGCCACACUGGAACUGAGACACGGCCCAGACUCCUACGGGAGGCAGCAGUAGGGAAUCUUCCGCAAUGGGCGAAAGCCUGACGCAGCAACGCCGCGUGAGUGAAGAAGGCCUUAGGAUCGUAAACCUCUGUCAUAAGGGACGAACAUAUUUCUGAGAAAAUACGCACGUAUUGACGGUACCUUCAGAAGAAGCAACGGCUAACUACGUG
RNAcentral lists this ribosomal RNA (497 nucleotides) under uncultured bacterium. RNAcentral describes it as "partial 16S ribosomal RNA". It matches the Rfam family "Bacterial small subunit ribosomal RNA", at positions 28 to 507 of the family's 1533-position model. The record is from RNAcentral.